RNAcentral lists this ribosomal RNA (368 nucleotides) under uncultured bacterium. RNAcentral describes it as "bacterial SSU rRNA". It matches the Rfam family "Bacterial small subunit ribosomal RNA", at positions 30 to 402 of the family's 1533-position model. The record is from RNAcentral.
AUUGAACGCUGGCGGCAUGCUUUACACAUGCAAGUCGAACGGUAACAGGCCUUCGGGUGCUGACGAGUGGCGAACGGGUGAGUAAUGCGUCGGAACGUGCCCAAUCGUGGGGGAUAACGUAGCGAAAGUUACGCUAAUACCGCAUAAGCCCUGAGGGGGAAAGUGGGGGACCGCAAGGCCUCACGCGAAUGGAGCGGCCGAUGUCAGAUUAGCUAGUUGGUGGGGUAAGGCCUACCAAGCCGACGAUCUGUAGCUGGUCUGAGAGGACGACCAGCCACACUGGGACUGAGACACGGCCCAGACUCCUACGGGAGGCAGCAGUGGGGAAUUUGGACAAUGGACGCAAGUCUGAUCCAGCAAUGCCGCGU